CCUACGUUUACGGCUCAUCGGCACCAUGUUGGUCAAGUGUCUAUCUAAAUGCUGUUGCUGGCCACUAAGCAGCAAUGGCACAUAUUAAACAACAGCCAUCACCUGAAGGGCUCUCUUUCACGGCCUAGCGGCAGCAUUGCUCAGGAUUCUAAGCCUUAAAAGACCCAUCAGGAGCUGUAGCCUGGUACAAUAUUUUACCACCAGAUGGAUGGGAGCAGUGAUGAAUGAACGAAUCACAGAG
Molecule: long non-coding RNA, 241 nt
Filed under: Fukomys damarensis (Damara mole-rat)
Lineage: Eukaryota; Metazoa; Chordata; Mammalia; Rodentia; Bathyergidae
Description: lncRNA (ENSFDAG00000021697.1)
Source: RNAcentral